GCCCAACAGCUAGCCCUCCCACCAAAAACAACACACCCCCAUAAAUAACCCCAAAUACACUAGUAUUAUGUUAAACAAACCAUUUUUCCCCCCAAGUAUGGGCGACAGAAAAGGGACUACGGAGCAAUAGAGAAAGUACCGCAAGGGAACGCUGAAAGAGAAGUGAAAGAACCCAGUAAAGCCUUAAAAAGCAGAGAUUUUAACUCGUACCUUUUGCAUCAUGAUUUAGCUAGAAACACCCAGGCAAAGAGAACUUUAGUCUGAUUCCCCGAAACUAAGUGAGCUACUCCAAGACAGCCUAUUAAUAGGGCACACCCGUCUCUGUGGCAAAAGAGUGGGAAGAGCUUUGAGUAGAGGUGAUAGACCUACCGAACUUAGUUAUAGCUGGUUGCCUGAGAAAUGGAUAGAAGUUCAGCCUCUCGGCUUCUUUUUUCACCCCGUCUUACACCCCACAGACACCCAAAGAAACCGCGAGAGUUAUUCAAAGGGGGUACAGCCCCUUUGAAACAAGACACAACUUUUCCAGGAGGGUAAAGAUCAUAUUAAGCCAAAGUAAAAUGUUUGGGUGGGCCUAAAAGCAGCCAUCCCUAUAGAAAGCGUUAAAGCUCAGACAUAUCAACUUCCUCCUUAUUCCGAUAACUAAUCUUAACCCCCUAAUUUUACCAGGCCGCCCCAUGCAAUCAUGGGAGUGACCAUGCUAAUAUGAGUAAUAAGAGAGCCCCGACUCUCUCCCUGCACACGUGUAAGUCGGAACGGACUAACCACCGAACCUUAACGGCCCCAAGCAAAGAGGGUAAUGAAUAAUAGACCAAACAACUAGAAGAACAUUCAAUUUUUUAGCCGUUAAACCCACACUGGUGUGCCCCCUGGGAAAGACUAAAAGAAAAAGAAGGAACUCGGCAAACAUAUGAAGCCUCGCCUGUUUACCAAAAACAUCGCCUCUUGCUGAACAUAAAAAUAAGAGGUCCCGCCUGCCCUGUGACUGUAAGUUUAACGGCCGCGGUAUUUUGACCGUGCGAAGGUAGCGCAAUCACUUGUCUUUUAAAUGAAGACCUGUAUGAAUGGCAUAACGAGGGCUUAGCUGUCUCCUUUUUCUAGUCAAUGAAAUUGAUCUCCCCGUGCAGAAGCGGGGAUAAGACCAUAAGACGAGAAGACCCUAUGGAGCUUUAGACACUAAGGUGAAUCAUGUUAAACACCCCUAAAUAAAGGGCCAAACCAAGUGAAAAUUACCCCGAUGUCUUUGGUUGGGGCGACCGCGGGGAAAUACAAAACCCCCAUGUGGAACGGGAACACUUCCUCCUACAACUAAGAGCCCCCGCUCUAGUUAACAGAACUUCUGACCAACAAGAUCCGGCUAACGCCGAUCAACGGACCGAGUUACCCUAGGGAUAACAGCGCAAUCCCCUUUUAGAGCCCAUAUCGACAAGGGGGUUUACGACCUCGAUGUUGGAUCAGGACAUCCUAAUGGUGCAGCCGCUAUUAAGGGUUCGUUUGUUCAACGAUUAAAGUCCUACGUGAUCUGAGUUCAGACCGGAGUAAUCCAGGUCAGUUUCUAUCUAUGCUAUGAUUUUUUCUAGUACGAAAGGACCGAAAAGAAGAGGCCCAUGCUUCAAGUAUGCCUCACCCCCACCUAAUGAAAACAACUAAAAUAGGCAAAAGGGCAUGCCCCCUUUGCCUGAGAUUACGGCA
RNAcentral lists this ribosomal RNA (1689 nucleotides) under Ambloplites ariommus. Its description in RNAcentral is "partial 16S ribosomal RNA". The stretch from base 96 to 1610 matches the Rfam family "Bacterial large subunit ribosomal RNA". Lineage: Eukaryota; Metazoa; Chordata; Actinopteri; Centrarchiformes; Centrarchidae. The record is from RNAcentral.